Molecule: long non-coding RNA, 1401 nt
Organism: Oryza sativa Japonica Group (Japanese rice)
Lineage: Eukaryota; Viridiplantae; Streptophyta; Magnoliopsida; Poales; Poaceae
Source: RefSeq, a predicted model, not a curated record
CCUUCCUCCUCAUCUCCUCUCUCCUUACUCUCCAUGGAGAUCCCCAUCCCCGCUGGAUCACCAUGGAGAUCGAGAGAGGGGAGAAGAAGAAGAGGGGGGGGAGAAAGAAGAGUAGGGGGUUGGAGGAAGAAGAUUCGCCUCUAUGACCAUGGAGACCGCUGGACGGAGAAAUAGUGGUUGCCAUCGGAGCUCACUGUCUCAGUCACUACCCCUCUACGGAUUCGUCGACGUCGACGACAACGAGGAGUUAAAUUGGUUUACUACUCUGCCUCCUCCAGUCGACCGCGCCGCCGGUACUCCUCCUCACGCCUCUUGCCGCCGCGCUGCCCUAAACCCUCACCCGCUCGGCCUCCUCCCCUCCCCAUCUCCCUCAUCCACCACCUCACUCGAUCCUUCUUUAUUGCAACAUCCCGAUCCCCUCGCAUCGCCCUCGAAAUUCUCCCAUCUUCGCCGAGAUAGCCGGCGCUGCUCCCGUCUUCUCGGCAAGCCAGCAGCCGCCACCGCCUUUCCUCGCCUCCUCUCCCAGGCGGCUUCAUAGGUUCUCCCCCUCCACUUUAGCUCACAUGGAGAUCAAGAGGGUGAAGAUUGCCGUUCACGUAGCGAGGAUCAUCUCGAUGAUCCUCGCCAUCGGGGUAAUGUGUGUCAUUUAUAUACCGACAUCUUAUGUCAAGCCUCUGUCCUACAGAUAUGUCUUAGUGGCUAUGUGGUUUGAGGUGAUUUGGGGUUUGCUGGAGUUGCUCCUCCAAGCAACACACCCGUUCCUUUGUGGCGUGGGACAUAUAUCCACUACACUGCUCACCAUGAUGGUCAUGAUCAACAUGAUAUGUUCACUGGCUCAAAUAAUCAUAUUAUUAUUUAUACUGGAAAUGGAGGGAAUUAAUUAAUACUUUGUUUAUAUGGGCGGUCUUAAAAAGAUGUAUUAUGUCGGAAAUAAAAUAUUAAGUGACAAAUUUGCUUUCCUUUUAACUCAUAACUCAUUCGCCCCCUCUCAAACGUCUUCCUAAUUUGAUUAAGUUAUAUUUAUGGUCAUGCAGGUGCUUAUGUGUUGCACGUGGGGUAUGGCUAUUGCAGCCUUGAGCACUGCCCUAUUUGCUAGACAGCACAGAUUUUGCAUCAGCGUGUUUAAGUGCACACGGUUCCUAGUUGGAUUUGUGCUAGCGGUGUCUGUUGGAUUUCUUAGCGCCGUCAAGGCAUUAGGUAUGCUAUGGAUCCUCGGAUCCCAAUUUCCUCGUGCCGAGUAGGAGAUUAGGGUGGUAUAUGUAUACACACAAUCUCUGUACUCUCGUAUGUUAAGUACAUGUGUAGAUCUGAUUGUGUUAGAACCAUGUAAACAUCUAUGUCUCAUGCUGAGGACUAGAAAGGUCUGUCUACACAUCUACGUCUCACGGCAAUAUGAUUGGA